This 1095-nucleotide long non-coding RNA is filed under the name Bos indicus x Bos taurus (hybrid cattle). Its description in RNAcentral is "lncRNA (ENSBIXG00005020328.1)". The record is from RNAcentral. Lineage: Eukaryota; Metazoa; Chordata; Mammalia; Artiodactyla; Bovidae.
AGGCAAUUAGGUGGUUAAGAAACUUUCCAAGAUCGCAUAGUUAGUAGGAGACAGAACAGGAAUUUGAACUUAAGCAAAUGAUUCCAACUCUCAGCCCUUGAACCUUCUACUACUUCUCUCUCUCUCUUUUUUCCAAAACAGCUCUUUUACCAGGGAAAACCUGAAGACAACUACCAUCAUCUAUCUUGGACCAUUUGCUUUCAAUGAUCUGCUUGCUCUAAUAUCCCCAUGGAAACUGGAGAGUCGGGAUCAUUACAGAUGGGAGAACUGAGGCCUAGGGAGACCAAGUGACUUGUCAGGCAUUAGACAUGGAGCAAGUGACUGAGGCCUUAAGAGACCCUUAGGCCCACUGACUCCCAUGACUGAACAUGACAAUAAAAAGGACAAACCCUGCAGAAAAGAGAUGUGUCUUCUCCAUCUGUAAAAUGGGUACCAACUAUCACUGCUCUUUCAUAGCCCACAGCAUGCUCAACCACCCCCAAAGGAUUUAAAGGUUGCUACUGCUGCUCUCACUCUUCAGACUAAAGACAGUUCUUAAGCCACACAAAUGACUGCUCUGAUAUCCACCUUCUCCUAAUCCUACGUGUGGCCUAAAGCAAACACCGAAAUUCCCUUGACCAUACCUGGAUGUUGGCAGCAAAGAGAUGCAAGAUGAUGAAGCAAGCCCAGGCAGAGUGACAAGAAAAGCUACACCUGUACCUGUUUGUCACUAUUCCCUUUGCAGAGGGUGACAUCACUGUUUAUUUCUAUUAGAAUAACUCCUCAUGGGAGGGCCUCAAACUUGUCCUCUUUGCAGGAAGGCAAGUCGGAGAGAAGCCGACUCCUACUCAGUGCUCAGCCUCUGGAAAACUCUGGAACCAACCUAGCUGACCUCUGAGUUCAGGGACGAUGCAGCAGUAGCUUUGUUCCAAAUGUCUUACAACAUACACCUCUAAAGUUCCUUUGCCAUUGUCUGCUGCUGCAGCGGCCACCAGCAGAAAUGACCCUAAAUAGCCAUUCACUUCACAGUGAAUUUAGAGGGACUUGAUGCUGGAAAAUGCUUUUGACACAGUUCUAGUUGGAGAUGAAUUAAAAACAUGUUUGCUUAAAUAAUUG